UGACUGGGUGGGUGGAUCUCAAAGGAGGCUUCAAGACUGGUUAAUGAAGAGCUGCUGAGAGCCUGGAAGAAGGAGGAACUCAGCCAGGGAAUAGGCCUAGAAGGAGGGCUGUGGAAUCCUGCUCUAAAGGGGAACUAACUUUAAUAUCCAGUCAGGCCUGGACUACACUCCAACAUUAGGUUGACCUAACUACAUUGCUCAGAGCUGUGAAAAAUGUCAUGCCCUGUGUGACCUACGCCCUAGCGCAGACACUGCUAGGUGAACCAAAUAAUUCUUCUGCCGGCCUAGCUACCAACUCUAGCAGAGGUGGAUUUACUAUAAUGACAGAAGAACCCCGUCUGCUGCUGAAGUCUGCAAGAGGGGAGGAGCUUUCCAAAAAGAGGCUGAGACUGACAUCUCGAUGAAAACACAUACGGAUUACUAUAGAACUGUGAAAUGUUUGGCUUGGCUAGAGGGGAUUCCGAGGAGGGUUUAUAUUAAAGACGGUGAAGCACUAGUGAGAAAUUCUGCUUCUGUCAUUUUGGUGGUGGUUGCGGUCGAUUCAGAGUUGGAAUGAAUG
Mauremys reevesii (Reeves's turtle) is the source of this 559-nucleotide long non-coding RNA. RefSeq lists it as uncharacterized. The transcript has 3 exons. The record is from RefSeq and is a predicted model, not a curated record. NCBI's taxonomy places the organism in Eukaryota, Metazoa, Chordata, Testudines, Geoemydidae.